Mauremys mutica (yellowpond turtle) is the source of this 641-nucleotide long non-coding RNA. RefSeq lists it as uncharacterized. Lineage: Eukaryota; Metazoa; Chordata; Testudines; Geoemydidae. The record is from RefSeq and is a predicted model, not a curated record. The transcript is spliced from 3 exons.
AUGGAACCCUGAGGUGGGGCUUAUGGCCAACUGCCAGUGCCUCAGGAGGUGAAGAGUUUGUGAGUGAAGGGAGUCCUCAGCUUGUUGUCUUCUGAGACCCAAGGGGAUGUACAAGGUUCUGCUUCUCUGAACACAAGAGGAACCAGAAACGAAAGAAAAAUGUGUUAGCCACGCAGCAACAUGGUUUUCUUUAAAUCUAUACACGUAACUGAGUGGUGGGUUAAUCAGUUCGCUGACUGGCUAGCAGUGAUUUCAGCACAGGAAGAGUCUGCCUGGAUUGCAGCUGGGGAAUAAACAAGGGGAGGGAAGAUGUUGUUUUAGACUCAGCAGACUGUAGAGAUUUGGUGAUCAAAGACUCUGAGACUUAGGUGAACUCAGCUUAAGGCUUUGGCAACUCUUGGUUUCUUCUCACUGUGUUUCUGUGGGGACUAAACUGUUCAGAUUUUAAUUUGUUUUCUUUGUUUAUGUAUAACUGAAGGUAAUGUCUGUGGAUUACAAAAUAGCCACGUCACGCUGUAAAAAUUAGGAUUGUUUGUUUCUUUAUCAUAAGAUUUUAUAAAAGUUAUUUAACUCUGGGUCUCCAGCUACUUUUCUGUGGGAGCUGGGUUUUUUAGGCACCGGAGAAGGGCAGUGAAGUAUAU